UGCCAAGUAUGGGUCAUAUAGCUGCAUGGAUUUGGAAUCUAACAACAUUUUAGACACACAACUUGUUCAGUCCAAUGAAGUGACCAACUCUGGAGCAAUGGAACUUGAGGGAUUAAAAAGAUGUCUGGCAAAGUUUGAUGAAAGUGGGAUGAAGGUGAAGUCAAUGACCACAGACAGACAUGCUCAAAUCAAAUCCUACAUGUCAAAACAAAGACCAAAAAUCGAGCACUACUUUGAUGUAUGGCAUGUAGCAAAAGGUAUAGAUUGUAAUAACAAACCAACCUUUUACACAUUUCAUCAAUAAUCAAAAUCCAACAGGAAUUAAAAAGAACAUUUGGGCAGCAUCAAAAAAAAGUGGUUGCAAAUUAUUGUCAGAUUGGGCCCAAUCAAUUUCCAACCAUGUAUACUGGUGUGCUGCUUCCAGCAAUGGUGAUGAAGAACUUGUCAAGGCAAAGUGGUUGUCAGUUCUCAACCAUAUAUGUGACAUCCAUGAGGGACAUAGUGAUGUAUUCCCAAAAUGUGAAUAUGAUAUGUUAGAGCCUAGAAUGUGGAUAAAAAAAGGUUCAAAAGCUUAUGUUGAGCUGUCUUCGAUUGUUGAGUCCAAGUAUCUCAUGACAGAUAAUGGAAAACUCAGUUAUCAAAAGCAGACUUCAUCCAUCAAAGGUUUCCACCGAGUGGUAAUUCUUUUUGC
Long non-coding RNA from Xenia sp. Carnegie-2017, 691 nucleotides. RefSeq lists it as uncharacterized. Lineage: Eukaryota; Metazoa; Cnidaria; Anthozoa; Malacalcyonacea; Xeniidae. The transcript has 3 exons. The record is from RefSeq and is a predicted model, not a curated record.